RNAcentral lists this ribosomal RNA (274 nucleotides) under uncultured bacterium. Its description in RNAcentral is "partial 16S ribosomal RNA". It matches the Rfam family "Bacterial small subunit ribosomal RNA", at positions 523 to 796 of the family's 1533-position model. The record is from RNAcentral.
AUACGGAGGGUCCGAGCGUUAUCCGGAAUCAUUGGGUUUAAAGGGUCCGUAGGCGGGAAUCUAAGUCAGUGGUGAAAUCUUGCAGCUCAACUGUAAAAUUGCCAUUGAUACUGGAUUUCUUGAAUUAGUGUGAAGUGAUUAGAAUGUGUAGUGUAGCGGUGAAAUGCAUAGAUAGUACACAGAAUACCAAUUGCGAAGGCAGAUCACUAACACUAUAUUGACGCUGAGGGACGAAAGCGUGGGGAGCGAACAGGAUUAGAAACCCCAGUAGUCC